Molecule: ribosomal RNA, 463 nt
Filed under: uncultured bacterium
Lineage: Bacteria
Description: SSU rRNA
Rfam family: Bacterial small subunit ribosomal RNA
Source: RNAcentral
AGGACUAACGCUGGCGGCGUGCCUAACACAUGCAAGUCGAACGAGGUAGCAAUACCUAGUGGCAGACGGGUGAGUAACGCGUGGUCAACCUACCUCUUAGUGGGGGAUAACUAGCCGAAAGGUUAGCUAAUACCGCAUACGAUCGUCGCGAGGCAUCUCGUGACGAUGAAAGGAGCAAUUCGCUAAGAGAGGGGACUGCGUCCCAUUAGUUAGUUGGUGGGGUAAUGGCCUACCAAGACUCCGAUGGGUAGCUGGCUUGAGAGAGCGACCAGCCACACUGGAACUGAGACACGGUCCAGACUCCUACGGAGGCAGCAGUGAGGAAUUUUCCGCAAUGGGCGCAAGCCUGACGGAGCGACGCCGCGUGUGGGAAGAAGGCCUUCGGGUCGUAACCACUGUCGAAGGGGACGAUAUUGACGGUACCCUUGGAGGAAGCCCCGGCUAACUACGUGCCAGCAGCCGC